AGUGAACGCUGGCGGUAGGCCUAACACAUGCAAGUCGAACGGCAGCACAGUAAGAGCUUGCUCUUACGGGUGGCGAGUGGCGGACGGGUGAGGAAUACAUCGGAAUCUACUUUUUCGUGGGGGAUAACGUAGGGAAACUUACGCUAAUACCGCAUACGACCUACGGGUGAAAGCAGGGGAUCUUCGGACCUUGCGCGAUUGAAUGAGCCGAUGUCGGAUUAGCUAGUUGGCGGGGUAAAGGCCCACCAAGGCGACGAUCCGUAGCUGGUCUGAGAGGAUGAUAGGCCACACUGGAACGGAGACACGGUCCAGACUCCUACGGGAGGCAGCAGUGGGGAAUAUUGGACAAUGGGCGCAAGCCUGAUCCAGCCAUACCGCGUGGGUGAAGAAGGCCUUCGGGUUGUAAAGCCCUUUUGUUGGGAAAGAAAAGCAGCAGGUUAAUACCCCGCUGUUCUGACGGUACCCAAAGAAUAAGCACCGGCUAACUUCGUG
RNAcentral lists this ribosomal RNA (492 nucleotides) under uncultured bacterium. RNAcentral describes it as "partial 16S ribosomal RNA". It matches the Rfam family "Bacterial small subunit ribosomal RNA", at positions 29 to 507 of the family's 1533-position model. The record is from RNAcentral.